Nematostella vectensis (starlet sea anemone) is the source of this 298-nucleotide long non-coding RNA. RefSeq lists it as uncharacterized. NCBI's taxonomy places the organism in Eukaryota, Metazoa, Cnidaria, Anthozoa, Actiniaria, Edwardsiidae. The record is from RefSeq and is a predicted model, not a curated record. The transcript has 2 exons.
CAUCACUUGAAUAAGUCGCCUCCCCCGAAUAAGCGCCUCACCCGAAAUGCCGCGGCGCUUACUCGACUUAUUACGGUGGGUAUAAGGGACUAAAAUACACCAUUCCUCAGGUGUAGAGAGGGAACGGACCAAUAACAGUGUUAAACUGCCCAUAUCACCGCGGUUACCCUUAUUAAGCAGAUUGAAAAUAAGCCGUUUGCCAGAUGGUUUAAUUUCUUGGCGAGAGCCAGGCUAAUUUGUCAGAUCUUGCCAAACAAUUUCGCCAGAUGUUUAACUUUAGGCUUUAUUGUCAAUAAAG